RNAcentral lists this ribosomal RNA (911 nucleotides) under uncultured Tulasnellaceae. RNAcentral's name for it is "eukaryotic LSU rRNA". The stretch from base 485 to 911 matches the Rfam family "Eukaryotic large subunit ribosomal RNA", at positions 1 to 412 of the family's 3401-position model. Lineage: Eukaryota; Fungi; Basidiomycota; Agaricomycetes; Cantharellales; Tulasnellaceae. The record is from RNAcentral.
CGUUCGCAACCCCCCUUUUUCACGGACCGGCUUGUGAUGCUCCGCAUCCUUGCCGAUCGACCACGCGUUUCUUGGACAUUGUCUAGAAUACAGUUGAUUAACAUUUCACAACUGGUAGCAUUGGAUCCCUUGGCACGCCAUUCGAUGAAGACCGUAGCAAAUUGCGAUAAGUGGUGUGAUAUGCGAGUCCAAAACUUAUACGUGAACCAUCGAAUUGUUGAACGCAUUGCAUCGAGCUUUGCCCAAGCACGAUAUGCCCCAUUGAGCGUCAUUAUGUCUUCGGAAUUUCCGAGUUCGGGAUUCAUGGACUCCUUUUCGGAGGCCACGCUUCCUCAGAUGCAUCUGCGUCACCCAAGAUGUCGUGCUCCUUGUCGUGAACUUCAAGGUGCCGCAUCGAGUCGGUGUUUGCUUAGAGGUCGGCCCUAAACGGCCAGCCGACCAAGCCCGAGAGGUGGAGCCCCGGCUCCACCCUCCUCCUUUGACAUGACCUCACGGGGGCAAGACGACCCGCUAGACUUAAGCAUAUUAAUCAGCGGAGGAAAAGAAACUAACAAGGAUUCCCCCAGUAACUGCGAGUGAAGAGGGAAGAGCUCAAUGUGUGAAUCUGACUGGGAGUAAUGCCCGGUCCGAAUUGUGCACUAUUGACGCCGGAUCAGCGUAUGGGAGCUUGCGGCGGAUGUCCGAUGAAACACGGCACCGUAGCGGGUCACAGUCCCGUACUCGCCCAUCGAGCGCCUGCGCGUACGACCGGUGUUCUUCGAGUCGCGUAGUUUUGUAUUGCUGCGCCAAUUGGGAGGUAGAGCCCUUCUAAAGCUAAAUAUGAUGGCGUGACCGAUAGCAAACAAGUACCGUGAGGGAAAGGUGAAAAGCAACCAUGCAGAAUGGGUUGAAAAAGAAGUGAAAGUGCUACC